CCUGCGGAAGGAUCAUUACCGAGUGCAGGUCUGCCCCCGGGCAGGCCUAACCUCCCACCCGUGAAUACCUGACCAACGUUGCUUCGGCGGUGCGCCCCCCCCCGGGGGUAGCCGCCGGAGACCACACCGAACCUCCUGUCUUUAGUGUUGUCUGAGCUUGAUAGCAAACCUAUUAAAACUUUCAACAAUGGAUCUCUUGGUUCCGGCAUCGAUGAAGAACGCAGCGAACUGCGAUAAGUAAUGUGAAUUGCAGAAUUCAGUGAAUCAUCGAGUCUUUGAACGCACAUUGCGCCCCCUGGCAUUCCGGGGGGCAUGCCUGUCCGAGCGUCAUUGCUGCCCUUCAAGCCCGGCUUGUGUGUUGGGUCGUCGUCCCCCCCGGGGGACGGGCCCGAAAGGCAGCGGCGGCACCGCGUCCGGUCCUCGAGCGUAUGGGGCUUUGUCACCCGCUCGAUUAGGGCCGGCCGGGCGCCAGCCGGCGUCUCCAACCUUCUAUUUUACCAGGUUGACCUCGGAUCAGGUAGGGAUACCCGCUGAACUUAAGCAUAUCAAU
RNAcentral lists this ribosomal RNA (550 nucleotides) under Aspergillus calidoustus. RNAcentral describes it as "eukaryotic LSU rRNA". The stretch from base 177 to 330 matches the Rfam family "5.8S ribosomal RNA". The record is from RNAcentral. Lineage: Eukaryota; Fungi; Ascomycota; Eurotiomycetes; Eurotiales; Aspergillaceae.